GGUGUCUUUAGUUACUUCCUUCUGGUUCCUCCUUUUAAAUUCACUUUUCACAAUCAGCCUUAAACAUUAUACCUUCAUUUGAAUUCUCAGCUGCUGAAUCACGAUCAGCUGAAGAUCCAGUAGCCCUGCACUACUGGAUAUAACUCAAGAGGUUAUGCUGUUUUUACUGUUUGGCACAUACUCAGGAAUGGCAACUUAGCUUAGCAGUUGGAGCAUAUGGCAGGGGGAGAUAGGCCAGCAUCUUGGAUGAAGAUGCAUAUAUUUUGUACUCUCAUGGUAUGAUGCAUUCUUGUGCUUUGCAGAUGGCACCUCAGAAUUGUGGCUGUGAAAACUAAUUUUGCCCAGCCACGCAGGUCUGCUGACACAAGCACUAGGAUCAUCUGUUUCUGCAGACACUACUGCACACUGCAGAUAUCCUAGGCAGGAAUUUUUCUGAGAAGAACACCUGCAUCUCAGUUGCUGUGGUAAGCAGAAAAAAAAAAAAAAAAGCUCAGGAACCUAUAACUAGCCUUUGUAUCUAGAGAGAACAAUUCAGCCAGACACGAUUGCUACCCUCAUGUAACUAUUGGUCGCUGUUUCUCCUGAAAGUUUAUUACAUCGUGGUAGUCAGGGCAAGAGUAAUGGGAAUACAUUGAUGUUAUGGCAGCUGGAAAGAGGGAUUUAUUCUAAUUGACAGAAAUCUAACAUUGCCUUUGAUUUGCCAGCAGCUUCCCUGCGUAUAGACCAGCCAUCAGUCCUCAGAGAAACCGCUUUUGUACAGCACAGGGACUGUAACACUAAUAGUGCCUCUCUCAAAACUUGCUUGUGUUUUAUGUCUGGCUCUCUGCCUCCACAAAACCAGCAUCUUGUUACAUGUACAAGUGGAUCAAGGGCUCGCUAGACAGGUUUCAGGCAACAGAUUCUGUGCAGCUAACGGAACUGCAAAUUAAGGGAGAACUGCAUAAAUUACAGCUUUAUUUUCCUCUUCUUGAGAAUUAUGUAAGUUGUAUGAAAAGCUCAAAAUAAUUUUAUACAACCACAGUGCUUUCGCACUUGCGUGUCUCUACUGAUUUCUCUUUUCCUUCUUUUCUCUUUCCCCCUUUCUCUUAUUCUCUCUCCUCCAUGCUCUGUCUCUCCAUGACUCAGGCAAGCACACACAUGCACACACUUUUCAGUAAUAAGGGCAUAUUCCAUAGGCAACCCACAGUUUUCACGCUUGAAAGUGUUCCCGUGGCUUCCAGUAUGAUUUUUCUCAGCUUUGAUGUAUAACCACCUACCUCUGCAGGACAAAUUGAUUUCAGUUGAUCUCUUGGGUGCACACUUAGGGCAGGUUUCACUUAGUCAAUCUCAGCCUCCAUCCCACUGUUUGGAUUUACUGUGGAUACUUUGUAAACAGUAGCUACUUUUAAGGAGAAAGGACACAAAUAAAACAAUAAUAGCAGCGCA
Molecule: long non-coding RNA, 1425 nt
Filed under: Cyanistes caeruleus (blue tit)
Lineage: Eukaryota; Metazoa; Chordata; Aves; Passeriformes; Paridae
Description: lncRNA (ENSCCEG00000002949.1)
Source: RNAcentral